RNAcentral lists this ribosomal RNA (209 nucleotides) under uncultured bacterium. Its description in RNAcentral is "partial 16S ribosomal RNA". It matches the Rfam family "Bacterial small subunit ribosomal RNA", at positions 568 to 774 of the family's 1533-position model. The record is from RNAcentral.
CACGUAGGCGGGUCCUUAAGUCAGAGGUGAAAUCCUGGAGCUCAACUCCAGAACUGCCUUUGAUACUGAGGAUCUCGAGUUCGGGAGAGGUGAGUGGAACUGCGAGUGUAGAGGUAGAAAUUCGUAGAUAUUCGCAAGAACACCAGUGGCGAAGGCGGCUCACUGGCCCGAUACUGACGCUGAGGUGACGAAAGCGUAGGGAGCAAACA